GAACGCUGGCGGCGUGCUUAACACAUGGCAAGUCGAACGGAGAUGUUUCGCUGAAGCGAGCUUGCUCAAUUCUUGAGACAUCUUAGUGGCGGACGGGUGAGUAACGCGUGGGUAACCUGCCAUAUACAGGGGGGAUAACACUUAGAAAUAGGUGCUAAUACCGCAUAAGCGCACAGUACCGCAUGGUACGGUGUGAAAAACUCCGGUGGUAUGAGAUGGACCCGCGUCUGAUUAGCUAGUUGGUGAGGUAACGGCUCACCAAGGCGACGAUCAGUAGCCGACCUGAGAGGGUGACCGGCCACAUUGGGACUGAGACACGGCCCAAACUCCUACGGGAGGCAGCAGUGGGGAAUAUUGCACAAUGGGCGAAAGCCUGAUGCAGCGACGCCGCGUGAACGAAGAAGUAUUUCGGUAUGUAAAGCUCUAUCAGCAGGGAAGAAAAUGACGGUACCUGACUAAGAAGCCCCGGCUAACUACGUG
This 480-nucleotide ribosomal RNA is filed under the name uncultured bacterium. RNAcentral's name for it is "bacterial SSU rRNA". It matches the Rfam family "Bacterial small subunit ribosomal RNA", at positions 31 to 507 of the family's 1533-position model. The record is from RNAcentral.